RNAcentral lists this ribosomal RNA (301 nucleotides) under uncultured bacterium. Its description in RNAcentral is "partial 16S ribosomal RNA". It matches the Rfam family "Bacterial small subunit ribosomal RNA", at positions 509 to 808 of the family's 1533-position model. The record is from RNAcentral.
CAGUAGCCACGGUAACACGUAUGUCACAAGCGUUAUCCGGAUUUAUUGGGCGUAAAGCGCGUCUAGGUGGUUAUGUAAGUCUGAUGUGAAAAUGCAGGGCUCAACUCUGUAUUGCGUUGGAGACUGUGUAACUAGAGUACUGGAGAGGUAAGCGGAACUACAAGUGUAGAGGUGAAAUUCGUAGAUAUUUGUAGGAAUGCCGAUGGGGAAGCCAGCUUACUGGACAGAUACUGACGCUGAAGCGCGAAAGCGUGGGUAGCGAACAGGAUUAGAUACCCCAGUAGUCCCUGUCUCUUAUACA